UUGCACACUCCUCUCAGACUCGCCCUCAUGUCUUACUUUUGAUAUUACUCUUCUUCCGUUACUUUUGGCAUUCAUUUCAAUUUUUCUUCCAUUCAGUGUGCUAGGCGUUACGCUAAGGUGGUGAAUGUCUAAUCAAAACUCUUUUAUGAAUCAAAAAACAAAAAAAGGAUGAUUCAUGCCAUUUUUAAAGGGUUUUCUACUUAAUUAUCGACAACUCCAGGUAGAAAGUUCAAAAGAUUUAGGCUUAGAUCUAUCAGUUUCAAGGUACUCGGUGCAACCAAAUAAGAAAUCAAUUUCAUAACCAAAAUCCCUUUCAGACGUCGUCAGUCCAUUGCAACUCCAUUAUCCCAGGUAAUACCGAAUACCAAUGUUUUCUGUGGGAGUCAAUGGAAGGAAUACAAAUCAGACAUUGCAAUUGUGUCUAAUGCCAAUUGCACCACAAACUGCCUCCCUUCUUUUCCCAAGAUUAUCAUUGGCAGAUACAUUGAAGGUCUUAUGACUGCCUCCCAUUCCAUCGCAUCCGAUCAUUAAGCAGCAAGGACUGGAGAAGUGGAGGAUUUGCUUUAUUCAACAUAAUUUCCAGCAACACAAAAGCUUCCAAGUUUCAAUGUUUGGUUGCAUAUAUUUUGUGCUAAACGUUUUUCAAGGACCAAAGUUUGUGAAUAGUUGAUGAGAUUAAAUCUAAAUCCACAGUAUCUCAUCUCGCCUAAGUUUAAAUCUAGAGUGUUCCAUUUCUGUGCUGGGGAACUUUUCUCAAGCAGUCAGCUCAAGAAACAUGCCCCUCAUACGAACUUUUGUCAUGGUUUCAGGCUCUGCAUUUGGCGAACAACAAGUAUAACAUAGAGAUAGAGUGUAUGGAUCAUUUUGUAAUCUAUAGAGAGUAUAGUACACUUGUUGCGGUAUUAGAUAUCCACUCUUUGUCUCUCUCUCUCACAUUACUUGAUGCUCUUUUUGGCAAUUAGUACUCGCAUUCUUUUUUUCAAUCCCUUUUUGCAGUAAAACUGCAUGAGACCUCUGGAGGUCCAUGGCAAUCCAUUGGUCUCUUACCUCAUUCCAUCCUUCUCACGAGAGAAUAUGAAGGACCCCUAACCUUGGUACGAAUGUUAAAAUGGUCACAGUUGGAGCUCUCUAAUAAAAGUAUGUUUUAUUACAUAUUCUAUUGAGGUAAAAAAAAUUGUGGUUCGAUAUCACUCAUGAUUAAAGUUUCUUAUUACAACUCUUUGCAUUCUCAUUUUACUUUGCCCAAUUGGCGUACCACUGUACCUCAAUUGUCUUAUUUAUUAAGGAAUGCAGGAAUUGUCGUCAUAAUCCUACUAUUAUUUUACAGAAUUAAAGUUUUUUGUAUUCUUAGGCAACGGUGAUUUCUUAGGUGAUCAACUGGCAAUAACAAAGGACACAGAUAAAAUGAACAUGGGCAACAGAAACUGGACAAACAACGAGUUUGUGUGUCAAUUUAGCGGGAUAGAGCCAUGUGUUAGUGUUGCAGGUCACAUGAUAUUCAUUUUUGUAUUUGAUGGGAAAAACUAUGAUCAGUUGAUGAGACUACAGUCAAUCGUUUUUAAGGAAAAGAAAGAGAUGAAUUUAAGUUAUUUUUUAUAA
Papaver somniferum (opium poppy) is the source of this 1599-nucleotide long non-coding RNA. RefSeq lists it as uncharacterized. NCBI's taxonomy places the organism in Eukaryota, Viridiplantae, Streptophyta, Magnoliopsida, Ranunculales, Papaveraceae. The transcript is spliced from 5 exons. The record is from RefSeq and is a predicted model, not a curated record.